Molecule: ribosomal RNA, 490 nt
Filed under: uncultured bacterium
Lineage: Bacteria
Description: partial 16S ribosomal RNA
Rfam family: Bacterial small subunit ribosomal RNA
Source: RNAcentral
AUUGAACGCUGGCGGCAGGCCUAACACAUGCAAGUCGAACGGUAACAGGAAGCAGCUUGCUGCUUUGCUGACGAGUGGCGGACGGGUGAGUAAUGUCUGGGAAACUGCCCGAUGGAGGGGGAUAACUACUGGAAACGGUAGCUAAUACCGCAUAACGUCGCAAGACCAAAGAGGGGGACCUUAGGGCCUCUUGCCAUCGGAUGUGCCCAGAUGGGAUUAGCUAGUAGGUGGGGUAACGGCUCACCUAGGCGACGAUCCCCAGCUGGUCUGAGAGGAUGACCAGCCACACUGGAACUGAGACACGGUCCAGACUCCUACGGGAGGUAGCAGUGGGGAAUAUUGCACAAUGGGCGCAAGCCUGAUGCAGCCAUGCCGCGUGUAUGAAGAAGGCCUUCGGGUUGUAAAGUACUUUCAGCGGGGAGGAAGGGAGUAAAGUUAAUACCUUUGCUCAUUGACGUUACCCGCAGAAGAAGCACCGGCUAACUCCGUG